GCUCCCAUGGCGUAGUGGUCACUGCGCUCGCCUUGCACGCGGGAGACCCGGGUUCGAUUCCCGGCGGGGUUC
Molecule: transfer RNA, 72 nt
Filed under: Diaphorina citri (Asian citrus psyllid)
Lineage: Eukaryota; Metazoa; Arthropoda; Insecta; Hemiptera; Psyllidae
Rfam family: tRNA
About the family: Transfer RNA (tRNA) molecules are approximately 80 nucleotides in length. Their secondary structure includes four short double-helical elements and three loops (D, anti-codon, and T loops).
Source: Rfam by way of RNAcentral